GUGUGUGUGUGUGUGUGUGUGUGUGUGUGUGUGUGUGUAAUCACAAGACAGUGAGAGAUGGAGUCAGUGCGCCCUCUAGUGUUCCACUCUGAGCUGGAUGAACAAAUGACGGAUAAAAUGAACAAGAGACAAAUAUUCAUAAACAGUUCAUUAAAAUAGUAGAAUAUUAACCACACUACAUUUAAAGUAUAGUAUCAUCUGAAUCACCUUCAUAUUUUAGGCCACACCUCUUACCUGAGUGUGAUACAGUCAGAAACAACAUCAGCAAGUCUGUCUGAGACACUAAACACCACAAAGCGAUUAGAGACGCCACUGUGAGAGGAUUUACAGUGGGUAUAAAAAGUCUACACACCCCUGUUACAAUGGCAGGGUUUUGUGAAGUAAAAGAAUGAAAGUAAGAUAAAUCAUGUCAAAACUUUUCCCACCUUUAAUGUGAAAUUGCAAAGUAUACAAAUAAAGUGAAAACAAUCAGAAACUUUUCAGAGAAAAAAAAAACUUACAAUAGCCUGGUUGCAUAAAUUUGCACACCCCUAAACUAAUACUUUGUUGAAGCACAUUUUGAUUUUAUUACAGCACUCAGUUAUUUUGGGUAAGAGUCUAUCAGCGUGGCACAUCUUGACCUUGGCAAUAUUUUCCCGCUCUUUCUUCUGGAAACAUUCUAGAUCCAUCCAUUUGUAAGGGCGUCUCCUGUGCACAGCCCGCUUCAGGUCACCCCACAGAUUUUUAGAUGGAUUCAGGUCUGGACUCUGGCUAGCCCAAUCAAAAACAUUGAUCUUCUUUUGGUUAAUCGGUUCCUUUGUUGGUAUGAAUGUAUGAUUUGGGUCAUUGUCUUGCUAAAAGGGGAAAUUCCUUUUCAUCUUCAGCUUACUAGAAGACAUCUGAAUGUUUUAUACUAAAAUUGGUAUUUGUACCUAUUCAUGAUUGCUACACCUUUAAAAAAAAAAAAAAAAAAAACGCUUCCACCACCAUGCUUCACCAUGGUGAUAGUGUACUUUUGGAAUUAUUAUACCUUUUGGAAUUGGUCUCAUUAGAACAUAACACAUUUUGCCACAUAGUUUGGUGUGAUUUAUUUGAACUUAGAUGUUUGAGAAAGGACUUCUGUUUAGCCAUUGUACCCUAUAGCCCAGACAUAAAUAAUACAAGAGAUUGUUGUUGCAUGCAGAGAGUAAUCAGUAUUUGUCAGAUAUUCCUGUAGGUUCUUUCAUGUUGCUGUAGGUCUCUUUGCAGCCUCCCUGGUAUGUUUUUGUCUUGUCCUUUUAUAAAUUUUGGAGGGACAUCCUGUUCUUGGUGAUGCCACUGUGGUGCUCCAUUUUCUCCACUUGUUGAUGAUGGCUUUCACAGUGUUCCAUGAUAAGGUUCCAUUGGAAAUUCUUUUAUACCCCUCUCCUGAUCGAUGUCUUUCAACAAGUCAGAUAUCAUACAUGCUAUGUAAGUUCUUUGUGGACUAGGACUUCAGUAGUCACAUAAACCAAGAAGAUGUCAAGAAAAUUCAACAGAAACAGCUGAUCUUUACUUGGGGUUAAUUGGAAUAAUUUCAUCGAUGACAGCUGUAUGAUAAUUACAACCCCAAUUCCAAAAAGUUGGGACAGUAUGGAAAAUGCUAAAACAAACAAUGAUGAGUGAUUUGUAAAUGUACUUUGACUUGUAUUUAAACAAAAAAAAAACUUAUAAAAAGAAGGUAUUCAGUGUUUUACCUAGUCAAAUGCAUAGUUUUUUAAGAUAAAGGUUUAUUUUGAAAUUGACACAUACAACACAUUCCAAUAAAGUUGUGACAGGGGCACUAGGACUAAUAGUGAUGUGACAAGUAGAAUAAGAAGGUGAUGUGAAACAGGUGAGGUAAUCAUCUAAACAUAGUAUAUAAGGAGCCUCCAAAAAAGGUCUAGUCCUUCAAGAGCAAGGAUGGGUCGAGGCUUGCCGAUCUGCCAACAGAUGCAUCAGUGAAUAAUCCGACAAUUUGAGAACAACAUUCCCCAAAGACACAUCGAUUGAAUGUGAUUAGUUCAUUCAGAACACAGCCACACCCCCAAUUAUAAAAGUGAGAAAUCCUGCACUGAUGUGGCUUCAGCUCUUGGUACAAAUCCAUCACACAUCAGAGAGCUGGAUCUGAGUGGGAGUGAACUAGAAGACUCAGGAGUGGAGAAGCUCUGUGAUCUACUGAAGAAACACGAGUGUAAACUGGAGACACUGCUGUUAAAGAAGUGCAGUAUAAAAGAUAGAGGCUGUGCUUCUCUGACUGCAGCUCUGAGGUCCAACUCCUCACAUCUGAAAGAGCUGGAUCUGAGAGAGAAUCAACUAAAUGAUUCAGUCACAAAGCAGCUCUCUGAGAUACUGAAGAGUUCAGGAGGAAAGCUGAUGUAAGUAAACACACACAGUACUGAAUGUGUAUUUUCUGUAGAAGAAUGUCAUGUAAGAGUAAUGUAAUUAGACAAAUCAACCGCAUGUAACAAUAACAAUCUUACUGACAGAAGCACAGAGGAUAAACUUUCAUAAUUCAGAAUCCGAACUAAACCAAAACAACAACUCAUCACUGCAUGCUAAUAACUAGCUCUGAUUUAAUAGAAGUGCACUUUGAUCUGAUCUGUUACUGUUCUACACAGAAAUACCACUGCAGUUUUCUUUUCAUUUUAGCUGGACUAACAGGAUACAACAGUCCAUCAUGCUCGUAACUAACUCACUCUCAUACAGAAAUGAUCAAUUUGAAAGGGCUUGAAACAGGACAUAGCUGUGGCUGUGUGACACGCCUUUAAUUCUCAUCCUCAUUGAUUUCAUAUUUUAUAUUUUCUACAUCCUUCUAAAUGCCAAAGAUUUUCUAACAGCACCAAAGCAACAAAAAAAAGCACUUGCACCUCCAAACCAUAUAAAAAAGGUACGUGUCUGAAUCAUAGUGAAGUCUGAAUUAUGAGUAUUACUGUCAUGUAACAGAUUUGGAGAUGGAUGCACAUGCAGUUAAGAGCUUUGUUGAAGAGAGGCAGGAAGACAAAUCUAAAUCGUAAGGCCAAACCGUGGUCAAAAACAAGUGGCGGGUUCAGGUGAACGGCAAAUGGGCAUAAACUGGGCUAAAAAGAGAAUCCGAAAACACGAGGACAAAACAAGAUCAAAACCAUGAAACGUAGAGCACAAUGAACAAGGCUUGGAAUCGCACUGGCAGCAAAACACAGAAACGGUACUUCAGGUGUAAUAAAAAAGCCUCUACUCUCAUCCAAAAACAAACUCGAGCAUCUUCAGUGUGCCAGACACUACUGGAACUUCAAAUGGGAUCGGGUUCUAUGGUCAGAUGAAACCAAAAUAGAGCUUUUUGGUAAUAAACACAGAGGUGGUUUUGGAGCACACAGAGCGGUAGCCAUAUGGAAAAGUACCUCAUGUCCACGGUUAAAUAUGGAGGUGGAUCUUUAAUGUUUUGGGGCUGUUUUUCCAAAAGAGGACCCAAAUGCACAAGUUGUUUUCAUCACAGAGGUUCCAGGUUGGGAAGCUGCGUGUCCUUACAGAUGUCGAAUUUGUCUCGAGAACCUUGGCCUUCAGCUCCUGAGACCAUGGUUGCAAGAAAGAGCGCAGGUAUCAACACUUCCGAGAGCAUCCCAGAGUGCACUGAAACUCUGUGGUUUUGUGAAACACAACCCCCAUGAAGAAGAACAAACAGGUGGUACAGAAGGUGCCACAUUUACCCAUCAUCACUUGAUCCAAAACAGUGGACCGUUGCUGUGGGUGUGGCCAGCCAUGCUGCAAUGACCACCAGAGAGUCAGUGUCAUUUAUGACUAUUGUUCUCAUAGAAAAAACCAGCCUACUAAUAAAAUUCCACAAAUUAGAAGUCAAGUUACAAAGAGUGCCAAAAAAAUGUUAAUGUGCGAUAGUUUCAUUUAUUACGAAUGUGUUUCAUUCAUUGUGUAAAUGAAAAUGUUUUAUAUUUAAAUGAGUUUUUGUUUUCUCAUUGUUGUUGAAGAUAUUUGAUGGCAAAUAAAAUGUCAAAAUAUAAGGAAACGUGCUUUAUUUUAUUAUUUUGUAAUGUUAAUAAAAUAUUAGGGCAGUUUUAUACUAUUGGGGCAGUUUAGAGAUCCAUCCGUGUUAGAUAUAUACUCCAGCUCGCUAAAGAUCUGAAUAUUUAAUAACUAUUGGCCAAACAUUUAUAUGUUUAAUGGUUAAUAUGCCUUCAAUAUGGAGGUCUGUUUAUGUAACCAGAUGAAGGAGUGAACAAUGUGUGUUUAAUAAAAUAAAUAGUGACAGCUGGAUUGUGAGAAUGUAAUGUAACCCCAGCAAUAUGCUGAUUUAAUGACUGAUCUGUUUUUAAUAGCGGCUAUUUGGUAAGUUUCAGAAGCAUUACUUGCUUUUCUCAUAUUAAAAUAGAAUUUUGUACUGAAAUAAAUUUGUAUUGAACUGAAAAAGAUUGUAAUG
Ictalurus punctatus (channel catfish) is the source of this 4387-nucleotide long non-coding RNA. RefSeq lists it as uncharacterized. The transcript has 3 exons. NCBI's taxonomy places the organism in Eukaryota, Metazoa, Chordata, Actinopteri, Siluriformes, Ictaluridae. The record is from RefSeq and is a predicted model, not a curated record.